AGGAAAAUGUCCCUCAAAUUCUGGGCCCCAUCACACACUGUGUGACCUUGGGCCAGUCACUCAACCUCUCUGAGCUGCAGUUUCCUCACCUGGAAGUGAUAACAUUCACAGUCUGGUCGCAGGGCUAUUUCGAGGCACACCCGAGAUCAGUCGCUGACAUUGGUGUGCAGCCUGUCCGAUGCCAGACACAGGUAAUGAAGGGAAAAUGGAGCCUCUUGAAUCUUAACUGAAGGAUCCUAGAACCUACCAUUAUGCCCCUGGAUCUACUGGGAAAGGGGGAAAUGAAAGUCUUUGAAGGCCACUGGCUUUACAGGAGAAAGGAAGCCCCGCAGAGCAGGAGUGAGGCAUGGUGUGGGCAAAGGUCAAAGCCCCAAAGGCAGCGCCUCCUGCACCACAGGGCACAGGACGCGGCAGGGAGCCCCGAGCCUGGCGUGAAAAGAGGGCCUCCAUCGCUUCUCCCAGGCUGUGUGGCCUGCGGAAAGUCCCACGGCCUCUCUGAUCCUCAGUUUCUUGAUCCGUGAAAUGAAAACGGUAAUACCCACCCUGUUUACUCUACUGCGUUGUCAAAAGAACCACAUGGAGUUUGUGAACAACCAAACAAUGUGCACGUAACGAGUAGAAUAUGAUUAUGUCAGUGACGUGCUCAAAACGUUGGUUACUCUGGAAAGUUAAUUUGCAGUAGGAAAUUCAGAGUGAAAGAAAGUAUAAAGGCCAUCGGAGAUUUAAAAAUAGAUUGAUGAGAUCAUGAUAAUAGCAGAAGGGUACUUUUGGGGGGAGGGUGCCAAGAAACAGAGGGAAGAGCUGGGACCUCAACAAGUGGGACCUCAACAAGGAUCCUGGAUUUGAUUCCUGUCAAGGGCAUGUACCUUGGCUCGGGGCGGGGGGAGCCGUCAGGGCCCCGUGGAGGAAGCUGGGGUUUGCUCACUGAUGUGCUGAGUAAUGGGGUUGGGGAACAGUCCAUGAUGUGAGUGUUUUCUGUGAGUCAUUGUACCAUCCAUACUGAAGGUCACAUGCAAAAGCCAGAGCCAGGAACAGGCAUGCCAGCCGAGGCUAGGACUGUGUCCAAGAACCCGUGGAGAAGAUGCGCUGGCCCAGGAGGGUGUGAAAUGAGUUGGACACUCCAGGCAAGUUCAGAGAAAGCCCAGAGAGAGGCCAGGGAGGAGGUCAGAAGGAACACUCAGCUGUCUGGGCAGAGGAGACUGCCAGCGAGCGUAAGGACCCGCCCCGAGGAUGGGGUUGGAGGCCAAAAAGAGCAAGAAGUUUGGAAGGAACUGAAAUCCAUGGCAGGGCGGUGAGGAUGCUACUCAGGAUGCUACUCAGCCCUGAAGGGAGCCUGCCAGGCCCCUGGCAUAGGGUCAGAGCUGCAGGGCAAAGGGAGUAUUGAUUCCCAGGAGUGAGACACCUGGAUUGUGUCUUGGUCCUGCUCCCCCAGAGAGCAGGUAGGGACCGCAGGCUCCGUGUGACCUGGAGCUAUGUCUCAUUCCUCUCUGUAGCCUUACUGCCCCGCACAGAGCCUGGUGUUCAGAGGGCACUCAGUCAGUGUACCUUGGAAUGAACCAACAAAUGGAUGGCAAAUGGAUACGGCCACGUUUAAAAUACCAACAUGUUUUGAACUUUCUCUUUUUGGUGACUCUUGGCAGACUUUGGCCUUCUUUCUAGUGCCAGAUAGCUCAUGUGGACAGCACCUCAUUGUCCCUCCUGAGACCCCCUGGCCAUUGACCACAUCUCGGGUCUCCGUCCCUUCUCGUUCUAUUGUGUAUGUUCUCGAGAUGACUGUGCUCCAUUUAGUGGCUUGUUUCCAUGACAACCUGUUCCUUCAUACUGUCUAGUUCCCAGGCAUUACCUACUGUACCUUAUUCAGUUCCCAGCCUUGCUUACAUCCUGUCCUGAUGCAGAAUGUCUUCCAUUAAGGGAACAUCAUCUUCUCAGAAAUUAACUUUAAAAAUGUCAUUAAACAGAUUAUGGCAUGUUGGGUGUGUUUUUUCAACUAGAAGUAAAAAAUUUCUCCACCACUUCCUUGCCAAGAAACACAUUUCCUUGUCAGCUGUUUUCAUCGACUCUUUUCAAAACUUUUUGUCUCCACAUGUAUUGAAAGCCAGCCUUUAGGAGAAGCAUUUGGCUCCCAACAUAAUUUGGCUCUCAAACUUUCACCCACUCCCCUGGACUCCACCCCCUGCUGGCCACUGCCACGAUCACAGUGCCGCAGUCUCACCUUCCAUACUGAAGAUCUGAACCAUCUCCAAAAAGAUCAGUGACACACGACUCACUUCUAUUUUACUGUCAGUUUUGUUAGUCUGGUCCAAAUGUGCUGUUAGGGCUCCCAACGUGGUUUUCAUCACAUUACUGAAGAAGGAUCCAUCUGACCCAUCCUUGGAACUCACCUUGCUCAACUCCUUGGGUGCGUCUUGACCACGGUCUCUUCCUCGGCAAUAAAACCUGUGGGACUUUUAGGAAAGUACUCAGAAGGGUCCAGCGAAUGCCGGUUGAGGGUCAUCUCAUCUUUCUUCUCAAGAUGGACAUUCACAUCAGCUGCCAGAACUCUGUCACGCCCCUUGUGGCCAGCUGUGGAUAGGCUUGUCCUUGGUCCAGCAACCAGACCUGUCCAUCACUUGAGGCCGUUCACCACCGACCACCCCUGCCUUCCAGUGCAGCAUCACAUUGGUCCAGGCAUUUGGUAUCUCUCACUUAUAAGGCCUCUCAUGACUCAAUUCAGUGUACUGCGGAGGUGUCCUGGCUAGAUCCGUCCCUCAGUGCUCAGAGAGCUUCUACAUAGCGACCAUUUAUUGUGGCUGAGGUGUAACGCCAAGUUCCUUAGAACAGCUUCCCUCUGACUGUGCAUCAAAAAUCCAAUUUUGAUUUCUCCUGCCCUUUUCAUGCCUGCAUUUAGAGCUAAUGUGCACCGAAGGAUAUGGAAAGCUCAUCCUAUCUGUGCAGCUAUACCAUGACUAAAAAAUAUUUUCUAAAGAGUUAGUCUGCCUCUAGCCGGUUUGGCUCAGUGGAUAGAGCGUCAGCCUACAGAUCAAAGGGUCCUGGGUUUG
This is a long non-coding RNA of Myotis myotis, 3038 nucleotides long. RefSeq lists it as uncharacterized. The transcript has 3 exons. The record is from RefSeq and is a predicted model, not a curated record. Lineage: Eukaryota; Metazoa; Chordata; Mammalia; Chiroptera; Vespertilionidae.